CCUUGUGAUCAUGAGGAUCAGAUUGAACAGAUCCUUGCUGGUUUGCCUGAGGACUACAAGAACCUUGUGGAUCAGAUUGAAGGAAGAGAUGUGGCGCCGUCUCUCACUGAACUUCAUGAGAAGUUGAUCAACUUCGAAA
Non-coding RNA from Brassica napus (rape), 139 nucleotides. NCBI's taxonomy places the organism in Eukaryota, Viridiplantae, Streptophyta, Magnoliopsida, Brassicales, Brassicaceae. The record is from Rfam.